Long non-coding RNA from Xenopus tropicalis (tropical clawed frog), 292 nucleotides. RefSeq lists it as uncharacterized. The record is from RefSeq and is a predicted model, not a curated record. Lineage: Eukaryota; Metazoa; Chordata; Amphibia; Anura; Pipidae. The transcript has 3 exons.
CCUAUUCAUGGAACCAAUCUACUGUGGCUGAGUCUCUCCUUUCAUCGUAUAACCAGGAUGGCCGAGUGGUUAAGGCGUUGGACUUAAGAUCCAAUGGAUGUAUAUCCGCGUGGGUUCAAACCCCACUCCUGCUCUUCCUUACUUUGGCUCAGAUCAGGUAAUUGGGGCUGUGUACGGACAAUAUAGAUGCAUAGCGUUCCACAAGCAACUUGAUGAACUUUUCUGAAAGGUAACGGACUACAGUAUUGAACAUAUUCACUACAUGAAAACUUCUACCGACGAGGAUGGGAUU